AUAGCAUUCAAAAGCACAGUAAAUUACAAGUGAGAAAAAUCACAAGACAGACAACUACAGGAAAAAUGCUACUGAACAGAAAAACAAGUGCAAUGCACCAACCUAUCACCAAGCUUAAACGCUUGGAAACGAGACAACCCCAUGUACUGUUCAACCACAUCUCCCAAUCAUGUAACAAUAAUCUUCUCGAAAUGCAUAAUUAGUACACGAAACUGUUCAUGUGCGCCUACGCCUUACAAUCGACUCAAUAUAAGCAACUAUGGGCAGAUAAAUAUAGUACAAUACAUCAGUGUUAACAAAACACCCUGGGAUUAUUCAUGCUAUUGCUGUUUCCUUCUCCCUCCAAGUUGCGAGGACCUCAUCAGUUCUAAACCGUUGAGUAAACGUUGAUUCCUCCAUUGGAGUUGAUGCACCAUUCGCA
Molecule: unclassified non-coding RNA, 421 nt
Filed under: Hevea brasiliensis (rubber tree)
Lineage: Eukaryota; Viridiplantae; Streptophyta; Magnoliopsida; Malpighiales; Euphorbiaceae
Source: RNAcentral